AUAGUUGGGAGCGACUCUAGAAGGCAGAGGGUGGCGAUGGGGCUCGUCGUUGUCGCCAGAGAACCGCCUCCCAAGUUUAGCAACUGUGGAGGCCCAGAGGAGGAUAAAUGUUUAAACCCCAUAAUUUGUAGAUGAAUCAUUGUCUGCAAGCAAACCAUUGCCAUCCUCGUCGAUCGUUCUCGCCCGUACCAGAUGGAGACAGUGACAACGAGGAGGGGGUCCCUCCUUUCACAGAGUUCUCGCUUCCUGAGCUUAAGGCCGCUAUGAAUGGGUUCAGUGCUAACAACAUCAUCUCUGAGAGUAGCGACAAGGCCCCAAAUCUUUGUUUGCAAGGGUAGGCUACAGAAUCAGCGAUGUAUUACCGUGAAGAAGUUCUCUAGGGUGGCCUGGCUAGAUCCUAAGCAAUUCGCUGAGGAGGCUUGGGGAGUUGGAAAAUUGAGGCACCAGAGGCUCAUAAAUUUGAUUGGAUACUGAUGUGAUGACGACGAGAGACUUUUUGUAGCAGAGUAUAUGCCCAACAACACUCUUGCCAAGCAUAUUUUCCACUAAUUCCUUUUUGUUGCAAUGGAAGGCGCGGGCUAUUUGGACAAGGAGGACUGAUAAUAUUUGACUUGAGCUCGACUGUUGCUACCUACAGAACACAGAAUCUGAUUGCAGUGGUAGUCAUCAGAGUCAUUGGUGGACUUUUGGGAAGCUUCUACAACUCCGUCAACAAAAUACUUCGCACCUACAACGUCAUCAAUGAGUAUGCUGUAUGCUCUUGCCAUUGGUUUGUUUUGGUGUUUGGAAUGUAUUUUGGCACUUCUUCCUCUGAUGUUUCCAGCAAUCCUAGAGAGACAAGCAAUAGUGAAUUGUGAAGGAAUGCUAGAAGGCUUUUCUAGGAUGCCUUCUCUAGACAAAGUUAUAAAACUCUUGACUCAACGCCAUUAUUUUCAUCCCCAGAAAAUAGUGACCUAGGAUAUCAAGAUAGGUGGCUACUUGACAUUGGUGAUCAUGCUUGAGAAACAGCUGUUGUACAGCCUCGAGGAGUUGUACAACGGGACUACCAAAAAGAUAAAAUCUCUAGAGAAAUUUUGGAUGUUAGCUGAUAUGACUAUGUGGGAAUGAAACUAGUGAAAAAGAAAUGAAGAAGGCCAGAUAAGGGACCACAUAUCUGAGGAGUAGAAAAGCUAUAAUUCUUUUUUAUACACUUGCUACAACACUUGUAUAUAUGACCUUGU
Molecule: long non-coding RNA, 1220 nt
Organism: Zingiber officinale
Lineage: Eukaryota; Viridiplantae; Streptophyta; Magnoliopsida; Zingiberales; Zingiberaceae
Exons: 4
Source: RefSeq, a predicted model, not a curated record